UACGUAGGGUGCAAGCGUUGUCCGGAAUUAUUGGGCGUAAAGAGCGUGUAGGCGGCCCCGAUAAGUCCGCCGUGAAAGCCCAGGGCUCAACCCUGGGAUGCCGGUGGAAACUGUCGGGCUAGAGUCCGGAAGAGGCGAGUGGAAUUCCUGGUGUAGCGGUGAAAUGCGCAGAUAUCAGGAAGAACACCCGUGGCGAAGGCGGCUCUCUGGGACGGUACUGACGCUGAGACGCGAAAGCGUGGGGAGCGAACAGG
This 254-nucleotide ribosomal RNA is filed under the name uncultured bacterium. Its description in RNAcentral is "partial 16S ribosomal RNA". It matches the Rfam family "Bacterial small subunit ribosomal RNA", at positions 524 to 776 of the family's 1533-position model. The record is from RNAcentral.